GGAAAGUUGAAAAGUAGUUUGAAGAGAGAGUUAAAAGAGCGUGAAAACGAUUAAGUGGAAGCAAACAGGUUUGUUGGGAGGUAUACAUUUCUAUGUAUAUCUGNUGAUAGGUAUGGAGGGGUAUUAUUAAGUUGUUAUAAGAGGACCCUUUUAGGGAAACCUUGUUAYDGUUGADCRUACUCUUUUCAUAUMDUAUKAGCAUUUAUGAUGGUUACCUGUUUGACCCGUCUUGAAACACGGACCAAGAAGUUUAUUGUAUACGCGAGUCACUAAGUGAAAAACUUAUUGGCGUAAUGAAAGUAAAGGUUCAGUUGUUGAGCUGAUGUGUGAUGUGGUAUUAAYGAAUACCAUAGCAACACGGUCCUAUUCUAAUGGUUUACCAUAGAGUGGAGAUAGAGCGUAUGCAAUGAGACCCGAAAGAUGGUGAUCUAUGCUUGAGCAGGAUGAAGCCGGAGGAAACUCUGGUGGAAGUCCGUAACGGUUCUGACGUGCAAAUCGAUCGUCUGACUUGAGUAUAGGGGCGAAAGACUAAUCGAACCAUCUA
Molecule: ribosomal RNA, 544 nt
Filed under: Halicephalobus sp. 55A
Lineage: Eukaryota; Metazoa; Nematoda; Chromadorea; Rhabditida; Panagrolaimidae
Description: partial large subunit ribosomal RNA
Rfam family: Eukaryotic large subunit ribosomal RNA
Source: RNAcentral